Molecule: ribosomal RNA, 665 nt
Filed under: Bradyrhizobium sp.
Lineage: Bacteria; Pseudomonadati; Pseudomonadota; Alphaproteobacteria; Hyphomicrobiales; Nitrobacteraceae
Description: bacterial SSU rRNA
Rfam family: Bacterial small subunit ribosomal RNA
Source: RNAcentral
ACGUCAGCGGCAGACGGGUGAGUAACGCGUGGGAACAUACCUUUUGGUUCGGAACAACACAGGGAAACUUGUGCUAAUACCGGAUAAGCCCUUACGGGGAAAGAUUUAUCGCCGAAAGAUUGGCCCGCGUCUGAUUAGCUAGUUGGUAGGGUAAUGGCCUACCAAGGCGACGAUCAGUAGCUGGUCUGAGAGGAUGAUCAGCCACAUUGGGACUGAGACACGGCCCAAACUCCUACGGGAGGCAGCAGUGGGGAAUAUUGGACAAUGGGGGCAACCCUGAUCCAGCCAUGCCGCGUGAGUGAUGAAGGCCCUAGGGUUGUAAAGCUCUUUUGUGCGGGAAGAUAAUGACGGUACCGCAAGAAUAAGCCCCGGCUAACUUCGUGCCAGCAGCCGCGGUAAUACGAAGGGGGCUAGCGUUGCUCGGAAUCACUGGGCGUAAAGGGUGCGUAGGCGGGUUUUUAAGUCAGGGGUGAAAUCCUGGAGCUCAACUCCAGAACUGCCUUUGAUACUGAAGAUCUUGAGUCCGGGAGAGGUGAGUGGAACUGCGAGUGUAGAGGUGAAAUUCGUAGAUAUUCGCAAGAACACCAGUGGCGAAGGCGGCUCACUGGCCCGGUACUGACGCUGAGGCACGAAAGCGUGGGGAGCAAACAGGAUUAGAUACCCUG